GUGCUUACUUUCACAGCACAUAUACUAAAAUUGUAGCAAAGCAGAGCAGAUUCACAUGGCCCCUGCACAAGGAUGACAUGGAAAUUUGUGAAGUGUUCCAUAUUUUU
Molecule: small nuclear RNA, 107 nt
Organism: Nannospalax galili (Upper Galilee mountains blind mole rat)
Lineage: Eukaryota; Metazoa; Chordata; Mammalia; Rodentia; Spalacidae
Source: Ensembl